This 152-nucleotide transfer RNA is filed under the name Marmota monax (woodchuck). RNAcentral describes it as "tRNA.SeC". Lineage: Eukaryota; Metazoa; Chordata; Mammalia; Rodentia; Sciuridae. The record is from RNAcentral.
AGGAAUGUAGCUCAGUGGUAGAGUGCCAAUGGGUUCAAUCCCCAGUACCACAGAUAAAUUAAUCAAAUCAAAGAGUCUGGGCUAUCAAUCAGAAGCAGUAGAACACUUCUCUAGCAUGCAUGAGGCCCUGGGAUCAAUCCCCAGCACUACAA